Molecule: long non-coding RNA, 1463 nt
Filed under: Theobroma cacao (cacao)
Lineage: Eukaryota; Viridiplantae; Streptophyta; Magnoliopsida; Malvales; Malvaceae
Description: long non-coding RNA (TCAC_LNC003865)
Source: RNAcentral
CCAAAAUCAUUCUCAUACCCAGUUAUCAAGGAUGCCUUGAUCGAAGGAUAUCCCAACCGAGUCCGCCAAGGCUAUUAAAAAGUUAUGUACGCAUAAAUCAUGUUUUUAUUUUGAAAACAUAAUCGUUCUUUGGCGUUGGUUGAGUUCCCCCUCACGUGGUGGUUUGACGUGAAGUGAACUCUAAAAGUGUUAGGCUCAGGAGUUAUCCACCCGCGCCUCUCAUACUGAGGUAAGAUAUAACGGGAUUUACCGUGCCCCUUUAAUAGGCUGGUCCACGAAAACCCACCCACUGCAGUAAGCUAAUAAUUAUCCCACCAAUCAAUAAAAUUCAAUAACAUGAUAUGGCAAUUAUUGUAAUUCACAGCCUUUCAAGGCUAAAUACACAGUUCAUAAAUUUGAACACAAAUACCAAUUCAGCCAUUCAUGCAAAUAUUGUCAUAAGCCAUUCGAUUCAAACCAUGAAUUUACAACACAUGAAAUGGUCUCCAAUUACUCUAUUUUCAAAGCCAUUAUUCAAUUUCAAGACCAUUUAUGAAAUCAUUUUAUUUAAACACAUUUUAUUUAUAAAACCUAAAAAUUUACCAUUUAAACUCAUUUUCCAUAAAAUCACAAAAUCGGAUAAAAACCACUCUAGAUAAUUAAGAUGAUAGUAAGGUUACUCACAAUGUCUAGAGUGUGGAUUUUCGAAGUACUCUGACUACUGGUCCUUGAAUGCAAUUUCCUUGCCUUUAUCGAAGGACUCAUCACCUUGACAUAGUACAAAAUCGAGAAACUUACUACAUUGGUACUAAAUCGAAAUUAAACUAAUUUAGACUACUAAUGCAUGAUAUGGAAUGCAAAAUGCACAAGUAACCAUCUAAACCCGGUAUUGGCCUAAUUCGUCUUAUCACCCGAUUAAUUGGCCAACGCGCCCAAUUUAGCUCCAAAUUGCACCAUUUCUUUUCCAAGACCUCAAUUCACCAAACACAAGUCAAAUAACCUAAAAUUUGGCAAAACCAUCUUCAUUUUUCUUCUUAGAAUUUUCGGUCAAUAAUGGUGCAUUAACAUCGUGAUGUUUCCUACUACUUUUCCACACCAUAAUUCAUCAUUUUCUAACCAAUUCUCUUAAAAUAAAAAAAUUCAAAUUCAUCCUCACUCAAUACAAGGUAGGUUCGACCAUUGAUGGGUGAUGAGGAAAAUGAAUUCUUUUCUUGUUGUUUUGCUUCUAGACAUGGUAAACUAACUAAAAACACUAAGAUAACUUGAAAUCAAAUCAAUCCAACAUCAUUCUCUCUCCAUACCCAUUCAGCUAGCCAUGACUUCACCAUGAAAACAUGAAAUUUGACCAUGGAAAAUAAGGAGAAAUGCUUAAGGAAAAUAGAUUUCAAGUUUAAAUUGAGAAAUCCUACCUUUUUCACUUGUUUCCUUGAUUUUCCACACUUUUUCUCUUGAAAUUCUCCACGUAGGGUUCUUGUUCUUUCUUU